Ribosomal RNA from Erinaceus europaeus (western European hedgehog), 112 nucleotides. The record is from Ensembl. NCBI's taxonomy places the organism in Eukaryota, Metazoa, Chordata, Mammalia, Eulipotyphla, Erinaceidae.
GACUAUGGUCAUACCACUCUAAAUGUGCCUAGUCUUGUCUGAUCUCAGAAGUUAAGAAGGGUUGGACCUGGUUAGUACUUGGAUGGGAGAAAAAGUUUGCUAACCCUUGUCC